Leptinotarsa decemlineata (Colorado potato beetle) is the source of this 746-nucleotide long non-coding RNA. RefSeq lists it as uncharacterized. The record is from RefSeq and is a predicted model, not a curated record. NCBI's taxonomy places the organism in Eukaryota, Metazoa, Arthropoda, Insecta, Coleoptera, Chrysomelidae.
AGCUCCUGAGGCCACAAAGUGUCAAAUGUGAGAAGAUUUUACUUUUUUGAUAGACUUCCUGACGUCACAAGUAGGCGGAGCUUAGCGAACUUUUCCAAACAAAUUGAUUUUACAUGUUAAAACGCCAUAAGAGAUUUGGUGUCAGUUAGUUGUUACAUAUUUUGAAAAAAAUCUCCAUUGAUUUCAGAUAUAGAAUGGCUUCAAAACAUUGUUUUAAAGCUAUCCUAUAUAAAUGAUUCAUUCGACAAUGAUAAUAAAAUCAUGAAAAAGGCUGAAAAUGCCUUGGAAUCGAAUCAUGUGGAAAGUAUGCAGUUUGAUGAUGAUAAGAGGAAGAAGAGAAGUUCAUGCAAGCAUGAAAAAUAAAUUCUAUCAUGUUGAAAUCACACUGAAUAAAUCUGAAGAUAUCAUAUCUUCAAAUUGUGCUCGUCCUAGAGGAAUAAAAUGUCAUCAUUUUGCCACAUUAGCUCUUUUUGGACACUUCCAUGUAUCUGUGACUGACAAGGAAUAUGAUCCACUGUGGGCAGAAAACUUAUCGCUGCUAGAAGAUUUUUAUAUAAAACAGUACCUGCCAAAACUUACACACAAUCUUACAUCAGCUGAAACUUGACUCAGUAUAUAAAAUUAUACCCAGAUAAUCAUGUUAAGAUAAAGUGUAUUAGAUAUAUGUGAUAAAUAUUCAGAAUGUACCUUCAUCAAUAUUUCUGUAAUAGUAUUGAAUAUAGUAACUGUUGGGGACAAGCUCAAAA